This 506-nucleotide ribosomal RNA is filed under the name uncultured bacterium. Its description in RNAcentral is "partial 16S ribosomal RNA". It matches the Rfam family "Bacterial small subunit ribosomal RNA", at positions 30 to 523 of the family's 1533-position model. The record is from RNAcentral.
AUUGAACGCUGGCGGCAGGCCUAACACAUGCAAGUCGAACGGUAACAGGAAACAGCUUGCUGUUUCGCUGACGAGUGGCGGACGGGUGAGUAAUGUCUGGGAAACUGCCUGAUGGAGGGGGAUAACUACUGGAAACGGUAGCUAAUACCGCAUAACGUCGCAAGACCAAAGAGGCGGACCUUCGGGCCCGUUGCCAUCGGAUGUGCCCAGAUGGGAUUAGCUAGUAGGUGGGGUAACGGCUCACCUAGGCGACGAUCCCUAGCUGGUCUGAGAGGAUGACCAGCCACACUGGAACUGAGACACGGUCCAGACUCCUACGGGAGGCAGCAGUGGGGAAUAUUGCACAAUGGGCGCAAGCCUGAUGCAGCCAUGCCGCGUGUAUGAAGAAGGCCUUCGGGUUGUAAAGUACUUUCAGCGGGGAGGAAGGGAGUAAAGUUAAUACCUUUGCUCAUUGACGUUACCCGCAGAAGAAGCACCGGCUAACUCCGUGCCAGCCGCCGCCGUAA